GAUGAAGAACGUAGCGAAAUGCGAUAAGUAAUGUGAAUUGCAGAAUUCAGUGAAUCAUCGAAUCUUUGAACGCACAUUGCGCCCGCCAGUAUUCUGGCGGGCAUGCCUGUUCGAGCGUCAUUUCAACCCUCAGGCCCCGCCUGGCGUUGGGGAUCGGCGCGGCCCUCUCCGGGCUGCCGGCCCCGAAAACUAGUGGCGGUCUCGCUGUAGUCCUCCUCUGCGCAGUAGCAACGCUCGCACUGGAACUCGGCGCGGCCACGCCGUAAAACACCCCACUUCUGAAAGUUGACCUCGGAUCAGGUAGGAAUACCCGCUGAACUUAAGCAUAUCGAUAAGCGGAGGA
RNAcentral lists this unclassified non-coding RNA (343 nucleotides) under soil metagenome. RNAcentral's name for it is "partial contains 5.8S ribosomal RNA, internal transcribed spacer 2, and large subunit ribosomal RNA". The stretch from base 1 to 120 matches the Rfam family "5.8S ribosomal RNA", at positions 35 to 154 of the family's 154-position model. The record is from RNAcentral.